This 714-nucleotide long non-coding RNA is filed under the name Dermacentor andersoni. Its description in RNAcentral is "uncharacterized LOC126531800". The record is from RNAcentral. Lineage: Eukaryota; Metazoa; Arthropoda; Arachnida; Ixodida; Ixodidae.
UCAUCCCCAUACCCCUUUCCCCAGUGCAGGGUAGCAAAUCGGACAUGUGUCUGGUUAACCUCUCUUCUAUUUCUCUCUCUCUGUAUAAUUCACUCAGUAACCGAAAUGAGGCCAAGCCAGAUUCACUCGAAAUCAGAAUCAACAGCAGUCAUGUGCGGCAGCACUUAUGCUUGGACUAGCAGAAAAAAAAAAAGGAGAGGCUGCAGUUUUGCAGAAAGGCGAAGCAGUGUUAGUGAUAGCCAAGUAUGCGACAAUUACACGAAGGAAGAUUACACCAGCAAGGGGACCCAGGCUGUGAAAUUGAACUGUCUCCUACUAUGAGGUCUUGUAUAUACUUAGCGCCGUUACUUCAGUGCUCAAGUCUUCGAGGUCAAACGAAGUUUCUUGAAGUGCAAGAAAUAUAUAUAUAUAUAUAUAUGUAUCGUAAGGAACCGCUUUAUUCCAGCCAAGCUCGGACUACUACCUCGAGGAUUAAACUGUGCUGCUAGUGAUGAUAUAUGCAGAUGAAAAAGAUGUGCAGAUGAUGAAGUUGAAAGUCAGGCAUGUGUUGUGCCCAUGCUAAUUCUCUCUCGCUGUGGAAGCGGCCGCCUGGCUGCGCGAAGCCAUCAUCUGGUGCUGUGUACAGCAAGCACAUGCUUCGGGCAAGGAGGGAGCCAGCACCAUAUCUACAUCAGCAAGAACCUCGGUGCUCAAAAUAAACAUUUUCUGUGCAAA